AUACGUAGGGUGCAAGCGUUGUCCGGAAUUAUUGGGCGUAAAGAGCUCGUAGGCGGCUUGUCGCGUCUGCUGUGAAAUCCCGGGGCUCAACUCCGGGUCUGCAGUGGGUACGGGCAAGCUAGAGUGCGGUAGGGGAGAUUGGAAUUCCUGGUGUAGCGGUGGAAUGCGCAGAUAUCAGGAGGAACACCGAUGGCGAAGGCAGAUCUCUGGGCCGUAACUGACGCUGAGGAGCGAAAGCAU
RNAcentral lists this ribosomal RNA (240 nucleotides) under uncultured bacterium. RNAcentral describes it as "partial 16S ribosomal RNA". It matches the Rfam family "Bacterial small subunit ribosomal RNA", at positions 523 to 762 of the family's 1533-position model. The record is from RNAcentral.